GCACCCUUAGUUCAAUUGGAUAGAGCAACGGUCUUCUAAAUCGUUAGUUACAGGUUCGAAUCCUGUAGGGUGUACCA
Molecule: transfer RNA, 77 nt
Filed under: Escherichia coli
Lineage: Bacteria; Pseudomonadati; Pseudomonadota; Gammaproteobacteria; Enterobacterales; Enterobacteriaceae
Also listed under: 14 other names
Description: tRNA-Arg
Rfam family: tRNA
About the family: Transfer RNA (tRNA) molecules are approximately 80 nucleotides in length.
Source: RNAcentral